This 253-nucleotide ribosomal RNA is filed under the name uncultured bacterium. Its description in RNAcentral is "partial 16S ribosomal RNA". It matches the Rfam family "Bacterial small subunit ribosomal RNA", at positions 524 to 776 of the family's 1533-position model. The record is from RNAcentral.
GACCGGGGAUGCAAGUGUUAUCCGGAAUCACUGGGCGUAAAGCGUCUGUAGGCGGUGAUGCAAAUCAUUGGUGAAAAACUCUGGCUGAACUGGAGGAAAGCCAGGGAAACUGCAUGACUAGAGUGCGGGAGAGGUAAAAGGAAUUCCCUGAGUAGCGGUGAAAUGCGCAGAUACAGGGAAGAACACCGGUGGCGAAAGCGUUCUACUAGAACACAUCUGACACUGAGAGACGAAGGCUAGGGGAGCAAAUUGG